GUCGAAGUUUUUAAGGGCACAUGGUGGAUGCCUUGGCACUAGGAGCCGAAGAAGGACGUUGUAGCCUGCGAUAAGCCUCGGGGAGCUGGCAAACGAGCUGUGAUCCGAGGGUGUCCGAAUGGGGGAACCCGGCCGCAGUCAUGUGCGGUCACCGACGCCUGAAUGUAUAGGGCGCCUGGAGGGAACGUCGGGAAGUGAAACAUCUCAGUACCGACAGGAAGAGAUAUUCCGUGAGUAGUGGCGAGCGAAAGCGGAUGAGGCCAAACCGUAUGCGUGUCAAGCUGUCAGGCGUUGCGUGUGCGGGGUUGUGGGACCUUCCGAGAACCACUGACAUGGUUCUGACCAGUAAGAAAGUCGCGUGAUAGUCGAACCGCAUUGAAAGGCGGACCGUAGAGGGUGUGAGUCCCGUAGACGAAAUCGCGUGGCCUGGUGGAGGGGAUCCCAAGUAGCACGGGGCCCGUGAAAUCCCGUGUGAAUCCGGCAAGACCACUUGCUAAGCCUAAAUACUACCUAGUGACCGAUAGCGGAUCAGUACCGUGAGGGAACGGUGAAAAGUACCCCGUGAGGGGAGUGAAAUAGUACCUGAAACCGUGUGCCUACAAGCCGUCGGAGCCUCCCUGGUGGGGGUGACGGCGUGCCUUUUGAAGAAUGAGCCUGCGAGUUAGUGCUCGGUGGCGAGGUUAACCCGUGUGGGGAAGCCGUAGCGAAAGCGAGUCCGAACAGGGCGAUUCAGUCGCCGGGUCUAGACCCGAAGCGAAGUGAUCUAGCCAUGGGCAGGUUGAAGCGCCGGUAAGACGGCGUGGAGGACCGAACCCACUUAGGUUGAAAACUGAGGGGAUGACCUGUGGUUAGGGGUGAAAGGCCAAUCAAACUUCGUGAUAGCUGGUUCUCCCCGAAAUGCAUUUAGGUGCAGCGUCACGCGUUCCUUGCCGGAGGUAGAGCUACUGGAUGGCCGAUGGGCCCUACCAGGUUACUGACGUCAACCAAACUCCGAAUGCCGGCAAGCCAGAGCGUGGCAGUGAGACUGCGGGGGAUAAGCUUCGUAGUCGAGAGGGAAACAGCCCAGACCACCGGCUAAGGCCCCUAAGCGUGUGCUCAGUGGGAAAGGAUGUGGAGUUGCCCAGACAACCAGGAGGUUGGCUUAGAAGCAGCCACCCUUGAAAGAGUGCGUAAUAGCUCACUGGUCAAGUGAUUCCGCGCCGACAAUGUAGCGGGGCUCAAGUACACCGCCGAAGCCGUGGCGCUCACACAAGCCCAGCAGCGACUUGAUCGCUGUUCAGGCGUGUGGGCGGGUAGGGGAGCGUCGUGUGGGCGGUGAAGCCGCGGAGUGAUCCAGCGGUGGAGACCACACGAGUGAGAAUGCAGGCAUGAGUAGCGAAAGACGGGUGAGAAACCCGUCCGCCGAAUGACCAAGGGUUCCAGGGCCAGGUUAAUCCUCCCUGGGUAAGUCGGGACCUAAGGCGAGGCCGACAGGCGUAGUCGAUGGACAAGGAGUUGAUAUUCUCCUACCGGCGAAGAACCGCCCAUACCGAAUCCGGUGAUGCUAACCACCCCGAACCACCACCGACGUCCUUCGGGACGUCACCGGUGACUAGGCGUGGGACCCGAGCCGGUACUAGGUAAGCGUGUUAACAGGGGUGACGCAGGAAGGUAGCCCGGCGUGGCGAUGGUUGACCACGUCCAAGGCCGUAGCCCGCCUCGUAGGCAAAUCCGCGAGGCACNNNNNNNNNNNNNNNNNNNNNNNNNNNNNNNNNNNNNNNNNNNNNNNNNNNNNNNNNNNNNNNNNNNNNNNNNNNNNNNNNNNNNNNNNNNNNNNNNNNNAGGGUGAGAGUCGACAGAUACCGCGUAUGCGGGAAUCGGGUGAUCCUCAGCUGCCAAGAAAAGCCUCGACGCGAGGUUCUAGCCGCCCGUACCCCAAACCGACUCAGGUGGUCAGGUAGAGAAUACUAAGGCGAUCGAGAGAAUCGUGGUUAAGGAACUCGGCAAAAUGCCCCCGUAACUUCGGGAGAAGGGGGGCCUGAUCCGUGAACCCACUUGCUGGGGGAAGCGGUGAGGGCCGCAGAGACCAGGGAGAAGCGACUGUUUACUAAAAACACAGGUCCGUGCGAAGUCGCAAGACGAUGUAUACGGACUGACGCCUGCCCGGUGCUGGAAGGUUAAGAGGACGGGUCAGCUUCGGCGAAGCCCAGAAUUUAAGCCCCAGUAAACGGCGGUGGUAACUAUAACCAUCCUAAGGUAGCGAAAUUCCUUGUCGGGUAAGUUCCGACCUGCACGAAUGGCGUAACGACUUCUCCGCUGUCUCGACCACGAACUCGGCGAAAUUGCACUACGAGUAAAGAUGCUCGUUACGCGCAGCAGGACGGAAAGACCCCGGGACCUUUACUACAGCUUGGUAUUGGUGUUCGGUGCGGUUUGUGUAGGAUAGGUGGGAGACUACGAAACCGGCGCGCCAGCGCCGGUGGAGUCGCCGUUGAAAUACCACUCUGACCGCAUCGACCAUCUAACCUCGGUCCGUGAUCCGGACCAGGGACAGUGCCUGGUGGGUAGUUUAACUGGGGCGGUUGCCUCCCAAAAAGUAACGGAGGCGCUCAAAGGUUCCCUCAGCCUGGUUGGCAAUCAGGUGUCGAGUGCAAGUGCACAAGGGAGCUUGACUGUGAGACCGACAGGUCGAGCAGGGACGAAAGUCGGAACUAGUGAUCCGGCGGUGGCUCGUGGAAGCGCCGUCGCUCAACGGAUAAAAGGUACCCCGGGGAUAACAGGCUGAUCUUCCCCAAGAGUCCAUAUCGACGGGAUGGUUUGGCACCUCGAUGUCGGCUCGUCGCAUCCUGGGGCUGGAGUAGGUCCCAAGGGUUGGGCUGUUCGCCCAUUAAAGCGGCACGCGAGCUGGGUUUAGAACGUCGUGAGACAGUUCGGUCCCUAUCCGCUGCGCGCGCAGGAAACUUGAGAAGGGCUGUCCCUAGUACGAGAGGACCGGGACGGACGAACCUCUGGUAUGCCAGUUGUUCCGCCAGGAGCACCGCUGGUUCGCUACGUUCGGGAGGGAUAACCGCUGAAAGCAUCUAAGCGGGAAGCCUGCUUCAAGAUGAGGUUUCCAACAGGCCAGUCCUGUGAAGGCACCCAGCUAGACCACUGGGUAGAUAGGCCGGAAGUGGAAGACAGGACCAACGACUGUCGCAGCUGACCGGUACUAAUCAGCCGACAACUUCCAUAC
This 3211-nucleotide ribosomal RNA is filed under the name Isoptericola sp. b408. RNAcentral describes it as "23S ribosomal RNA". It matches the Rfam family "Bacterial large subunit ribosomal RNA". Lineage: Bacteria; Bacillati; Actinomycetota; Actinomycetes; Micrococcales; Promicromonosporaceae. The record is from RNAcentral.